RNAcentral lists this ribosomal RNA (486 nucleotides) under Pichia kudriavzevii. RNAcentral's name for it is "partial 28S ribosomal RNA". It matches the Rfam family "Eukaryotic large subunit ribosomal RNA", at positions 143 to 648 of the family's 3401-position model. The record is from RNAcentral. Lineage: Eukaryota; Fungi; Ascomycota; Pichiomycetes; Pichiales; Pichiaceae.
UUGUAGAUUGCAGGUUGGAGUCUGUGUGGAAGGCGGUGUCCAAGUCCCUUGGAACAGGGCGCCCAGGAGGGUGAGAGCCCCGUGGGAUGCCGGCGGAAGCAGUGAGGCCCUUCUGACGAGUCGAGUUGUUUGGGAAUGCAGCUCCAAGCGGGUGGUAAAUUCCAUCUAAGGCUAAAUACUGGCGAGAGACCGAUAGCGAACAAGUACUGUGAAGGAAAGAUGAAAAGCACUUUGAAAAGAGAGUGAAACAGCACGUGAAAUUGUUGAAAGGGAAGGGUAUUGCGCCCGACAUGGGGAUUGCGCACCGCUGCCUCUCGUGGGCGGCGCUCUGGGCUUUCCCUGGGCCAGCAUCGGUUCUUGCUGCAGGAGAAGGGGUUCUGGAACGUGGCUCUUCGGAGUGUUAUAGCCAGGGCCAGAUGCUGCGUGCGGGGACCGAGGACUGCGGCCGUGUAGGUCACGGAUGCUGGCAGAACGGCGCAACACCGC